AUUGAACGCUGGCGGCAGGCUUAACACAUGCAAGUCGAGCGAGCGGCGGACGGGUGAGUAAUGUCUGGGAAACUGCCUGAUGGAGGGGGAUAACUACUGGAAACGGUAGCUAAUACCGCAUACCAUCAGAUGUGCCCAGCUGGGAUUAGCUAGUAGGUGGGGUAAUGGCUCACCUAGGCGACGAUCCCUAGCGUGCCUGCGAGGAUGACCGGCCACACUGGAACUGAGACACGGCCCAGACUCCUACGGGAGGCAGCAGUGGGGAAUAUUGCAAAAUGGGCGCAAGCCUGAUGCAGCCAUGCCGCGUGUGUGAAGAAGGUCUUCGGGUUGUAAAGCACUUGUGGCGAGGAGGCGUUACUCGCAGAAGAAGCACCGGCUAACUCCGUGCCAGCAGCCGCGGUAAUAC
Molecule: ribosomal RNA, 406 nt
Filed under: uncultured bacterium
Lineage: Bacteria
Description: partial 16S ribosomal RNA
Rfam family: Bacterial small subunit ribosomal RNA
Source: RNAcentral